GAUGAACGCUAGCGGCAGGCCUAACACAUGCAAGUCGAGGGGCAGCACAGGUAGCAAUACUGGGUGGCGACCGGCGGAUGGGUGCGUAACGCGUAUGCAACCUACCAUUGAUUGGGGCAUAGCCCGAAGAAAUUCGGAUUAAUACUCCAUAAUAUUCAUUAAAGGCAUCUUUUAUGAAUUAAAGCUUUUGCGAUCAAUGAUGGGCAUGCGUGACAUUAGUUAGUUGGUGAGGUAACGGCUCACCAAAACGAUGAUGUCUAGGGGUUCUGAGAGGAUUAUCCCCCAACUGGUACUGAGACACGGACCAGACUCCUACGGGAGCAGCAGUGAGGAAUAUUGGUCAAUGGACGCAAGUCUGAACCAGCCAUGCCGCGUGCAGGAUGACGGCCCUAUGGGUUGUAAACUGCUUUUAAUGGGAAAUUAUGACGGUACCAUAUGAAUAAGGACCGGCUAACUACGUGCCAGCAGCCGAC
RNAcentral lists this ribosomal RNA (473 nucleotides) under uncultured bacterium. Its description in RNAcentral is "bacterial SSU rRNA". It matches the Rfam family "Bacterial small subunit ribosomal RNA", at positions 28 to 518 of the family's 1533-position model. The record is from RNAcentral.